UAGUCCACGCCGUAAACGAUGAGAACUAGACGUUGGGAGGGUAGCCUUUCAGUGUCGUAGCUAACGCGUUAAGUUCUCCGCCUGGGGAGUACGCUCGCAAGAGUAAAACUCAAAGGAAUUGACGGGGACCCGCACAAGCGGUGGAGCAUGUGGUUUAAUUCGAUGAUACGCGAGGAACCUUACCAGGGCUUAAAUGUAGUAUGACAGGGGUGGAAACACCUUUCCUUCGGGCAUAUUACAAGGUGCUGCAUGGUUGUCGUCAGCUCGUGCCGUGAGGUGUCAGGUUAAGUCCUAUAACGAGCGCAACCCCUGUUGUUAGUUGCCAACGAGUCAUGUCGGGAACUCUAACAAGACUGCCGGUGCAAACCGUGAGGAAGGUGGGGAUGACGUCAAAUCAUCACGGGCCCUUACGUCCUGGGGCCACACACGUGCUACAAUGGCCGGUACAGAGAGCAGCCACUACGCGAGUAGGAGCGAAUCUAUAAAACCGGGUCUCAGUUCGGGAUCGGGAGUCUGCAACUCGACUCC
RNAcentral lists this ribosomal RNA (528 nucleotides) under uncultured bacterium. RNAcentral's name for it is "bacterial SSU rRNA". It matches the Rfam family "Bacterial small subunit ribosomal RNA", at positions 791 to 1319 of the family's 1533-position model. The record is from RNAcentral.